GAUGAACGCUCGCUACAGGCUUAACACAUGCAAGUCGAGGGGAAACGCCAUCGAAAGCUUGCUUUUGAUGGGCGUCGACCGGCGCACGGGUGAGUAACGCGUAUCCAACCUGCCCAUCACUUGGGAAUAACCUUGCGAAAGUAAGACUAAUACCCAAUGAUAUCCCACGAAGGCAUCGGAAUGGGAUUAAAGAUUUAUCGGUGAUGGAUGGGGAUGCGUCUGAUUAGCUUGUUGGCGGGGUAACGGCCCACCAAGGCAACGAUCAGUAGGGGUUCUGAGAGGAAGGUCCCCCACAUUGGAACUGAGACACGGUCCAAACUCCUACGGGAGGCAGCAGUGAGGAAUAUUGGUCAAUGGGCGAGAGCCUGAACCAGCCAAGGAGCGUGCAGGAAGACGGCCCUAUGGGUUGUAAACUGCUUUUAUAAGGGAAUAAAGUGGGUCACGUGUGACUUUUGGCAUGGACCUUAGGAAUAAGGACCGGCGAAUUCCGG
Molecule: ribosomal RNA, 491 nt
Filed under: uncultured bacterium
Lineage: Bacteria
Description: partial 16S ribosomal RNA
Rfam family: Bacterial small subunit ribosomal RNA
Source: RNAcentral